GAUCGCGGUACACUCCCAACCCAAUGUGAACGUUACCAAACUGUUGCCUCGGCGGGAUCUCUGCCCCGGGUGCGUCGCAGCCCCGGACCAAGGCGCCCGCCGGAGGACCAACCAAAACUCUUUUUGUAUACCCCCUCGCGGGUUUUUUAUAAUCUGAGCCUUCUCGGCGCCUCUCGUAGGCGUUUCGAAAAUGAAUCAAAACUUUCAACAACGGAUCUCUUGGUUCUGGCAUCGAUGAAGAACGCAGCGAAAUGCGAUAAGUAAUGUGAAUUGCAGAAUUCAGUGAAUCAUCGAAUCUUUGAACGCACAUUGCGCCCGCCAGUAUUCUGGCGGGCAUGCCUGUCCGAGCGUCAUUUCAACCCUCGAACCCCUCCGGGGGGUCGGCGUUGGGGAUCGGCCCUGCCUCUUGGCGGUGGCCGUCUCCGAAAUACAGUGGCGGUCUCGCCGCAGCCUCUCCUGCGCAGUAGUUUGCACACUCGCAUCGGGAGCGCGGCGCGUCCACAGCCGUUAAACACCCAACUUCUGAAAUGUUGACCUCGGAUCAGGUAGGAAUACCCGCUGAACUUAAGCAUAUCAAAAUACGGAAGAAA
RNAcentral lists this ribosomal RNA (590 nucleotides) under Trichoderma harzianum. RNAcentral's name for it is "eukaryotic LSU rRNA". The stretch from base 200 to 353 matches the Rfam family "5.8S ribosomal RNA". The record is from RNAcentral. Lineage: Eukaryota; Fungi; Ascomycota; Sordariomycetes; Hypocreales; Hypocreaceae.